Molecule: ribosomal RNA, 120 nt
Filed under: Pteropus alecto (black flying fox)
Lineage: Eukaryota; Metazoa; Chordata; Mammalia; Chiroptera; Pteropodidae
Source: RNAcentral
GUCUACGGCCAUGCCAAGCCUGAACAAGCCCGAUCCCAUUUGAUCUCAGAAAGUAAGCAGGGUCAGGACUGGUUAGUACUUGGAUGGGAGACCACCUCGGAAGACCAGGUGCUGUAGGCA